This 274-nucleotide ribosomal RNA is filed under the name uncultured bacterium. Its description in RNAcentral is "partial 16S ribosomal RNA". It matches the Rfam family "Archaeal small subunit ribosomal RNA", at positions 473 to 747 of the family's 1478-position model. The record is from RNAcentral.
AAACCAGCACCUCAAGUGGUCAGGAUGAUUAUUGGGCCUAAAGCAUCCGUAGCCGGCUCUGUAAGUUUUCGGUUAAAUCUGUACGCUUAACGUACAGGCUGCCGGGAAUACUGCAGAGCUAGGGAGUGGGAGAAGUAGACGGUACUCGGGAGGAAGUGGUAAAAUGCUUUGAUUUCUCGAUGACCACCUGUGGCGAAGGCGGUCUACUAGAACACGUCCGACGGUGAGGGAUGAAAGCUGGGGGAGCAAACCGGAUUAGAAACCCCGGUAGUCC